AUCCCACCCGAAUAAAGGAAAAAUCUCUAGAGGCUCACCAUCCAGUUAAGUUCUACACCAAUUGCUCAGUGUGGCUGAGGCAAAGGCCAGUGCAAUUACAGGUCACGAUUUUCGAACCUGCUCUGGGGGACGCAACAACGGGGAAAGGACGGACCGCCACAUGUGGGACGCGAUCCCCGGGCGCAGAAACUGGGAAACGAAAUGCCACACGCCUGCCACAACAACGGGACGGGCCGCCACUUUCGGGACGCGAACCCUGGGCGCAGAAACGGGGAAAUGAAACGCCACAACAACGGGACAGUUCUGGUUAGGAAAAGAAGAACGGGGAAAGCAACCGUCAUAAGUGGGACACGCCAACAACAGCGGGACGUUUGUGGUUAGGAAGAGAAUAACGAGGAAAGGAACUGCAACACGCGGGACGUGAUCCCCGGUCUCCGGGGUGAAAGUCCUGUG
Molecule: long non-coding RNA, 453 nt
Organism: Perca fluviatilis (European perch)
Lineage: Eukaryota; Metazoa; Chordata; Actinopteri; Perciformes; Percidae
Exons: 3
Source: RefSeq, a predicted model, not a curated record